AUACGUAGGGGGCGAGCGUUGUCCGGAAUGAUUGGGCGUAAAGGGCGCGUAGGCGGCGCGGUAAGUCUGGAGUGAAAGUCCUGCUUUCAAGGUGGGAAUUGCUUUGGAUACUGCCGCGCUUGAGUGCAGGAGAGGUUAUCGGAAUUCACGGUGUAGCGGUGAAAUGCGUAGAGAUCGGGAGGAACACCAGUGGCGAAGGCGGGUAACUGGACUGCAACUGACGCUGAGGCGCGAAAGUGUGGGGAGCAAACAGGAUUAGAUACCCUGGUAGUCCACACUGUAAACGAUGAAUGCUAGGUGUAAGAGGUAUCGACCCCUUUUGUGCCGGAGUCAACACAAUAAGCAUUCCGCCUGGGGAGUACGGCCGCAAGGUUGAAACUCAAAGGAAUUGACGGGG
This 397-nucleotide ribosomal RNA is filed under the name uncultured bacterium. RNAcentral's name for it is "partial 16S ribosomal RNA". It matches the Rfam family "Bacterial small subunit ribosomal RNA", at positions 523 to 918 of the family's 1533-position model. The record is from RNAcentral.